CCUCAGUUCGGAUUGGAGUCUGCAACUCGACUCCAUGAAGCUGGAUUCGCUAGUAAUCGCGCAUCAGCCAUGGCGCGGUGAAUACGUUCCCGGGCCUUGUACACACCGCCCGUCAAGCCAUGGAAGCCGGGAGUGCCUGAAGUGCGUGACCGCAAGGAGCGUCCUAAGGCAAUACCGGUGACUGGGGCUAAGUCGUAACAAGGUACC
This 207-nucleotide ribosomal RNA is filed under the name uncultured bacterium. RNAcentral's name for it is "partial 16S ribosomal RNA". It matches the Rfam family "Bacterial small subunit ribosomal RNA", at positions 1286 to 1500 of the family's 1533-position model. The record is from RNAcentral.